AUUGAACGCUGGCGGCAGGCCUAACACAUGCAAGUCGAGCGGAUGAAGGGAGCUUGCUCCUGGAUUCAGCGGCGGACGGGUGAGUAAUGCCUAGGAAUCUGCCUGGUAGUGGGGGAUAACGUCCGGAAACGGGCGCUAAUACCGCAUACGUCCUGAGGGAGAAAGUGGGGGAUCUUCGGACCUCACGCUAUCAGAUGAGCCUAGGUCGGAUUAGCUAGUUGGUGGGGUAAAGGCCUACCAAGGCGACGAUCCGUAACUGGACUGAGAGGAUGAUCAGUCACACUGGAACUGAGACACGGUCCAGACUCCUACGGGAGGCAGCAGUGGGGAAUAUUGGACAAUGGGCGAAAGCCUGAUCCAGCCAUGCCGCGUGUGAAGAAGGUCUUCGGAUUGUAAAGCACUUUAAGUUGGGAGGAAGGGCAGUAAGUUAAUACCUUGCUGUUUUGACGUUACCAACAGAAUAAGCACCGGCUAACUUCGUG
RNAcentral lists this ribosomal RNA (482 nucleotides) under uncultured bacterium. RNAcentral's name for it is "partial 16S ribosomal RNA". It matches the Rfam family "Bacterial small subunit ribosomal RNA", at positions 30 to 507 of the family's 1533-position model. The record is from RNAcentral.